This 91-nucleotide small nucleolar RNA is filed under the name Neotoma lepida (desert woodrat). RNAcentral's name for it is "Small nucleolar RNA SNORD116". It matches the Rfam family "Small nucleolar RNA SNORD116". Rfam says of the family: HBII-85 is a member of the C/D class of snoRNAs, which contain the C (UGAUGA) and D (CUGA) box motifs. The record is from Rfam by way of RNAcentral. Lineage: Eukaryota; Metazoa; Chordata; Mammalia; Rodentia; Cricetidae.
GAAUUGAUGAUGAUUUCCAAUAAAUCAAUCUUUGGAAAGUUGAAGAAAAUGAGUGAUAACAGUACAGCCGCUCUCCCUGAAACUGAGGUCC